RNAcentral lists this ribosomal RNA (211 nucleotides) under Cryptosporidium hominis. RNAcentral describes it as "partial 18S ribosomal RNA". It matches the Rfam family "Eukaryotic small subunit ribosomal RNA", at positions 575 to 805 of the family's 1831-position model. Lineage: Eukaryota; Apicomplexa; Conoidasida; Eucoccidiorida; Cryptosporidiidae. The record is from RNAcentral.
CGCCGGUAAUUCCAGCUCCCAUAGCGUAUAUUAAAGUUGUUGCAGUUAAAAAGCUCGUAGUUGGAUUUCUGUUAAUAAUUUAUAUAAAAUAUUUUGAUGAAUAUUUAUAUAAUAUUAACAUAAUUCAUAUUACUAUUUUUUUUUUUAGAAGAAAAAUUUUUACUUGAAAAAAAUUGGGGUGCUAAAAGCCGGCUUACCCCUUGACACCUUC